Pelobates cultripes (western spadefoot toad) is the source of this 232-nucleotide non-coding RNA. NCBI's taxonomy places the organism in Eukaryota, Metazoa, Chordata, Amphibia, Anura, Pelobatidae. The record is from the annotation of a GenBank genome assembly.
GCCAGAAAGACACACUGAUAUUCAGUAGCAGGCGUCUUCAGACAUACACUGGCAGACCACGUCAGAGACUGAGAUAUACACACUUACAGAUACCAAAAUAAACUAUCAGACACAUAUACAUACUGACAUAAACACACAGUCACCCAAUUGAGCAUUUGUGAGAUGUGCUGUAACAACAAAUCUGAUCCAUGGGGGCCCCGUUGCAACUUGCAGAACUUUGCUGCUAAUGUCU